RNAcentral lists this unclassified non-coding RNA (342 nucleotides) under soil metagenome. RNAcentral's name for it is "partial contains 5.8S ribosomal RNA, internal transcribed spacer 2, and large subunit ribosomal RNA". The stretch from base 1 to 120 matches the Rfam family "5.8S ribosomal RNA", at positions 35 to 154 of the family's 154-position model. The record is from RNAcentral.
GAUGAAGAACGUAGCGAAAUGCGAUAAGUAAUGUGAAUUGCAGAAUUCAGUGAAUCAUCGAAUCUUUGAACGCACAUUGCGCCCGCCAGCACUCUGGCGGGCAUGCCUGUUCGAGCGUCAUUUCAACCAUCAAGCCCCCAGAGGCUUGUGCUGGGGCCCUGCGGCUGCCCGCAGGCCCUGAAAACCAGUGGCGGGCUCGCUAGUCACACCGAGCGCAGUAGCACAUCUCGCUCAGGGCGUGCGGCGGGCUCCUGCCGUGAAACCCCCCACUGUAACCCCAAAGGUUGACCUCGGAUCAGGUAGGAAUACCCGCUGAACUUAAGCAUAUCAAUAAGCGGAGGA